Molecule: ribosomal RNA, 253 nt
Filed under: uncultured bacterium
Lineage: Bacteria
Description: partial 16S ribosomal RNA
Rfam family: Bacterial small subunit ribosomal RNA
Source: RNAcentral
UACGUAGGGACCGAGCGUUAUCCGGAUUCAUUGGGCGUAAAGAGCUCGUAGGCGGCUAUUCAAGUCGAACGUGAAAUCUCGGGGCUCAACUCCGAGCCUGCGUUCGAUACUGGGUAGCUAGAGUCUGGUAGGGGGAUCUGGAAUUCCUAGUGUAGCGGUGAAAUGCGUAGAGAUUAGGAAGAACACCAGUGGCGAAGGCGACUUACUGGACUGUAACUGACGCUGAGGCAUGAAAGCGUGGGGAGCAAACAGG